GUCAAGUCAUCAUGGCCCUUAUGUGUAGGGCUACACACGUGCUACAAUGGACGAUACAGAGGGUUGCCAACCCGCGAGGGGGAGCUAAUCUCAGAAAGUCGUUCUCAGUCCGGAUCGAAGUCUGCAACUCGACUUCGUGAAGUCGGAAUCGCUAGUAAUCGCGAAUCAGCAAUGUCGCGGUGAAUACGUUCCCGGGCCUU
This 200-nucleotide ribosomal RNA is filed under the name uncultured prokaryote. RNAcentral's name for it is "partial 16S ribosomal RNA". It matches the Rfam family "Bacterial small subunit ribosomal RNA", at positions 1184 to 1382 of the family's 1533-position model. The record is from RNAcentral.